CAAGUCGAACGAGAUCUUCGGAUCUAGUGGCGAACGGCGGAGUAAUACAUGAGCAACGUGCCCUUAUGCCUGGGAUAUACAGAGGAAACUCUGGGCAAUACCGGAUGUGGCUAUCUUUCGGCAUCGAGAGAUAACUAAACGGAUUUAUUCGCAUAGGGAGCGGCUCAUGACCCAUCAGGUAGUUGGUAGGGUAAUGGCCUACCAAGCCGACGACGGGUAGCGGGUCUGAGAGGAUGAUCCGCCCGAGUGGGACUGAGACACGGCCCACACACCUACGGGUGGCAGCAGUUGGGAAUCUUGCACAAUGAGGGAAACCUUGAUGCAGCGACGCCGCGUGGACGAUGAAGGGUUUAGGCCUGUAAAGUCCUUUUACCAGGAAAGACUUAGGACGGUACCUGGUGAAUAAGCUCCGGCUAACUACGUGCCAGCAGCCGCGGUAAUACGUAGGGAGCAAGCGUUGUCCGGAUUUACUGGGCGUAAAGGGCGCGUAGGCGGUCUGUUAAGUGUGGUGUGAAAUCUCCAGGGCUCAACCCGGAAACUGCACCGCAUACUGGCAGACUGGAGGAAGGUAGAGGUAAGUAGAAUUCCCGGUGUAACGGUGACAUGUGUAGAUAUCGGGAGGAAUACCAAUAGCGAAGGCAGCUUACUGGGCCUUUCCUGACGCUGAGGCGCGAAAGCGUGGGUAGCAAACAGAAUUAGAUACUCUGGUAGUCCACGCCCUAAACGAUGGAUACUAGGCGUCAAGGGUAUCGACCCCCUUGGUGCCGCAGCUAACGCAUUAAGUAUCCCGCCUGGGGAGUACGACCGCAAGGUUGAUGCUCAAAUGAAUUGACGG
This 835-nucleotide ribosomal RNA is filed under the name uncultured bacterium. RNAcentral describes it as "bacterial SSU rRNA". It matches the Rfam family "Bacterial small subunit ribosomal RNA", at positions 58 to 916 of the family's 1533-position model. The record is from RNAcentral.